AUUUAGUGACCAACUUUGUAAAGUGGUCACUAAAUACUUUUAGUGACGAGCCUAUAGUGAUCACUUAGUGACCAUCAUAUUUUGGUCACUGAAGCUUAUUAGUGACCAAAUUUGCCAUCUUUUGUGACCACUGCCAUGGUCAUUAAUACUGGGUUUUGUUGUAGUGUUAAAGAGUUGGCGACUAGUUUUGAUUCCAUUAGCUUUAAAUAUGUCUUUCGUAAAGGUAAUUUUGUAGCGGAUGUCAUUGCUAAUAUUGGUCAUUCUAGUGUUGUCCCAUUACAUUGGGAUAUAGGGUUCCUAGUGAUAGGUGCAUUUUAUGCAACGUUCUUAAUGUAUUUCCGACCCUAUUUAGUUAUGUAAUUCCUUUAACAAUAUUGAUUUUAACUUAGUUUGUGUUUUUAGGUCACAAAUAAAGCCGAGGAGCACAAAAGAGGCAAAAGAGGAGAAAUCUUGAAGGAAAAGGAAUCCAUAUGGCGCAAGGAAAGAAAUCAGAAAAUCUGCCAGGAAUAGUCAGUCAACUUCGACAGAGAAUUGUGAUCAGCUCACAACGAUCCAGGAGAUGAACUUUAUAUCAGCAGAAAGCUAGAAGAGUCUAGUUUUCAGAACUUUUCGCAGAUCGUCAAUAGCUAUUUUGGUGACCAAGUUAUGACCGUUUGAGUGACCAAAGGUCAGUCUGCCCGAAUUUCUGAUUUGGACCGGAACUUCAAUUUCAAGGCCCAGACCACAACGGCGAGCCCAUGG
RNAcentral lists this long non-coding RNA (741 nucleotides) under Fragaria vesca (wild strawberry). RNAcentral's name for it is "long non-coding RNA (FVES_LNC003966)". Lineage: Eukaryota; Viridiplantae; Streptophyta; Magnoliopsida; Rosales; Rosaceae. The record is from RNAcentral.